Molecule: transfer RNA, 72 nt
Filed under: Bos taurus (domestic cattle)
Lineage: Eukaryota; Metazoa; Chordata; Mammalia; Artiodactyla; Bovidae
Also listed under: 3 other names
Rfam family: tRNA
About the family: Transfer RNA (tRNA) molecules are approximately 80 nucleotides in length.
Source: Rfam by way of RNAcentral
UCCCUGGUGGCUCAGAUGGUAAAGCAUCUGUCUGCAAUGCAGGACACCUGGGUUCGAUCCCUGGGUUGGGAA